RNAcentral lists this non-coding RNA (1547 nucleotides) under Drosophila willistoni. Its description in RNAcentral is "Eukaryotic large subunit ribosomal RNA". It matches the Rfam family "Eukaryotic large subunit ribosomal RNA", at positions 981 to 2330 of the family's 3401-position model. The record is from Rfam by way of RNAcentral. Lineage: Eukaryota; Metazoa; Arthropoda; Insecta; Diptera; Drosophilidae.
GCUGGUGCAUUUAAAUGUUAUAUAAAAUAAUCUUAUCUGGUAAAGCGAAUGAUUAGAGGCCUUAGGGUCGAAACGAUCUUAACCUAUUCUCAAACUUUAAAUGGGUAAGAACCUUAACUUUCUUGAUAUGAAGUUUAAGGUUAUGAUAUAUUGUGCCCAGUGGGCCACUUUUGGUAAGCAGAACUGGCGCUGUGGGAUGAACCAAACGUAAUGUUACGGUGCCCAAAUUAACAACUCAUACAGAAACCAUAUAAGGCGUUGGUUGCUUAAGAUACCAGGACGGUGAUCAUGGAAGUCGAAAUCCGCUAAGGAGUGUGUAACAACUCACCUGCCGAAGCAACUAGCCCUUAAAAUGGAUGGCGCUUAAGUUGUAUACCUAUAAAUUACCGCUAAAGUAGAUGAUUUAUAUUAUUUAUAAUAUAAAUUUUGAAACUUUAGUGAGUAGGAAGGUACAAUGGUGUGCUUAGAAGUGUUUGGCGUAAGCCUGCAUGGAGCCGCCAUUGGUACAGAUCUUGGUGGUGGUAGCAAAUAAUCGAAUGAGACCUUGGAGGACUGAAGUGGAGAAGGGUUUCGUGUGAACAGUGGUUGAUCACGAGUUAGUCGGUCCUAAGUUCAAGGCGAAAGCCGAAAAUUUUCAAGUUUUAAAAAUGUCAAAUGAAAUAAUAAAUAAUAAAACACUUCAAUAAUUUUGAACGAAAGGGAAUACGGUUCCAAUUCCGUAACCUGUUGAGUAUCCGUUUGUUAUUAAAUAUGGGCCUCGUGCUCAUCCUGGCAACAGGAACGACCAUAAAGAAGCCGUCGAGAGGUAUCGAAAGAGUUUUCUUUUCUGUUUUAUAGCCGUACUACCAUGGAAGUCUUUCGCAGAGAUGGUGGGGAUACGCAAACUUCUCAACAGGCCGUACCAAUAUCCGCAGCUGGUCUCCAAGGUGAAGAGUCUCUAGUCGAUAGAAUAAUGUAGGUAAGGGAAGUCGGCAAAUUAGAUCCGUAACUUCGGGAUAAGGAUUGGCUCUGAAGAUUGAGAUAUUCGGGCUUGAUUGGGAAACAAUAACAUGGUUUAUGUGCUCGUUCUGGGUAAAUAGAGUUUAUAUCAUUUAUGAUAGUUAUUUGUUCCCCGGAUAGUUAGUUACGUAGCCAAUUGUGGAACUUUCUUGCUAAAAUUUUUAAGAAUACUAAUUUUGAAUUAGUUCUUUUAAAUUAUAACGAUUAUUAAUUAACAAUCAAUUCAGAACUGGCACGGACUUGGGGAAUCCGACUGUCUAAUUAAAACAAAGCAUUGUGAUGGCCCUAGCGGAUGUUGACACAAUGUGAUUUCUGGCCAGUGCUCUGAAUGUCAAAGUGAAGAAAUUCCAGUAAGCGCGCGUCAACGGCGGGAGUAACUAUGACUCUUUUCCACAUCUUGCAAAAAUGCUAUCUUACGCACGGGAGGCGGCUAGCUAGACACAACAGCGUAGUAAAUGCCGCCUAGCGGGGACUUGAACGAAAAGAUCUCCUCAUCGCUGAAGAUACCAAACUCAUCAGCGUCAGAGCAUAAAAUGGCGGAGUGACGU